GAUGGUUGAUUAAAGGUGAACCCUCAUAGCUUAUGGUUUUCAAAAGUUAAAUCACCACAAAUCUUCGAUUCUACAAGCUCCGGAAGGAGGUUCGGCGCGUGGAUCUCGCGUGAAGCCGAGGAUUCGGUGGACGCUUCGAGGAAUUGAGGCGUUGACGCUGCGAGGAGUUGCAGCAAGGUCGAUUGGAGGAUUCCUAUCGAUCGAGGACCGGCGAAGAUCGUCAUCUACGGGAAAUCGGUAAAUUGAGUCGUGUGUUUUGGUCAAAAUCACUUGUACUCAUGUUUUCUUAGUGGAUUUUCUUUGCGUGAUUGGUCCCGUGGGUUUUUCACUCCGAUUUGGAGUUUUCCCACGUUAAAUUCUCGGUGUGUUCUUUUAUUUUCCGCUAUUUUGUUUUAUUUGCAUCGAGUUUUUCGAGUUUGCCGUUUUUACACCUAUUCACCCCCCUCUAGGUGUUACUUACCUUUUAGAUCCUCGGGAUCCAUAUCUUACAAGUGGUAUCAGAGCGGGUAUAGGUUGUAAUUCAUGGCUGAGGGCGGUAACAUCAAUCGACCCCCGCUCUUCGAUGGAACUAACUAUGCUUAUUGGAAAGUCCGUAUGAGGGCGUUUCUUAUUGCUAUCGACGAGCGGGUUUGGCAAGCCAUUGAAUUCGGAUGGAAAAACCCUACCGAAGUAGUCGAGAAUGUUACCGUGCCGAAACCUAGGAAUAAAUGGACGAAAGAGGAAAAUAAACUAUCUUCGUUCAACGGGAAAGGUAUCAAUGCUUUAUUUAAUGCUUUAAAUCAAACUGAAUUUUCUCGUGUCUCGGCGUGCGAAACUGCUAAAGAGAUUUGGGACACUUUGCGAGUUACACACGAGGGUACAAGUGUCACGCCCCGGGACCGAGGCCAAUUUGGCCCGACCCGAGCACGUCAAACAGACGCCGAACGGACAGAGUUUCCCCUAUCCGCCCAAGGCUCAUCACAUGUACAUUUUCANUGGGGGUCAUCUUAAAGUUUAAGGCUUUGAAUUUCUACUCAUUCUAAACCCUAGAAACUUGUUUUUCCCGUUCCUAUGAUUCUAUUCCAAUAACAAGUUUCUAACAAUCAACGAUCGACUUGAUUCUUCGUUUUUACUCGAGAACUUAUACGAGAAUCAAGUAGAUGGUUGAUUAAAGGUGAACCCUCAUAGCUUAUGGUUUUCAAAAGUUAAAUCACCACAAAUCUUCGAUUCUACAAGCUCCGGAAGGAGGUUCGGCGCGUGGAUCUUGCGUGAAGCCGAGGAUUCGGUGGACGCUUCAAGGAAUUGAGGCGUUGACGCUGCGAGGAGUCGCAGCAAGGUCGAUUGGAGGAUUCCUAUCGAUCGAGGACCGGCGAAGAUCGUCAUCUACGGGAAAUCGGUAAAUUGAGUCGUGUGUU
RNAcentral lists this long non-coding RNA (1394 nucleotides) under Ananas comosus (pineapple). Its description in RNAcentral is "long non-coding RNA (ACOM_LNC034049)". The record is from RNAcentral. Lineage: Eukaryota; Viridiplantae; Streptophyta; Magnoliopsida; Poales; Bromeliaceae.